Molecule: long non-coding RNA, 2313 nt
Organism: Liolophura sinensis
Lineage: Eukaryota; Metazoa; Mollusca; Polyplacophora; Chitonida; Chitonidae
Exons: 8
Source: RefSeq, a predicted model, not a curated record
GUCUUCAGCUAGCUGGUGAAAGAUUUUGUGUAUCGGUAUUUCUUUUGCAAGUGUUCGACGAAAACAGAGUUUGCUGUUUCAUUGGAUUGACAGAGCAUAGUUGCAACAUGCCACGGAAAAAGUACUGGAGAAAAACAAGAUUCCAUAAGGAGACAAAAGGGGAUGGAAACGUGUCAAAAAAUAAUGACAGUGACGAGUCUGGGACUGUUGUUUUUACAGAGAUAAGUACAGUUUCUGGACAUUUUCAUCAAGGACAUCCACAAUUUAUGCCAAACAGUGGGGCACAGUGUGUGGCUAAUAGUUGCUCAGCUAUUCUGUAUGAUAAAGUAAAGCCAGUUUCUAUGUGGACUAGUAAUGAUCUUGAUGCUGUAUUGAUUUCUGGUGAUGAAUUGUACUCUAAUGUUAAACCUAAUCUUCCUGCUGGUGAGACCUUUUUGCUCAUUUCAGACAUUCCAGAUGUGAUGGACAUGCACAAUGGUACAUUCGGUAUAAGGGCAGGAAUGUAGAAGGUGUACAAGUUGUUGAUGGGACUGCUGUAAGCAUCAGAUACACAGGUCUAGAAGGGGUGUUUCAACACUGUACUCGUCUGGCUAUUUCACUCAACACUGCAGCUUGUGAAAGAACCAACCACGGAAAACGGGACACUGAUUGAUCAUGUUUAUGUCAGACAUGUCCAUUUGAAAACAGUCAAAGUCAUUCCGACUUAUUUUAGCUACCACGAUGCCAUUAUGUCCACAUUAUAAGAAAAACAGGAGCUUUGGUCUUGGAAAUCUUAGUAACUGUUGGCACUGGAGCUUGUGGGAGAAAAAAAACUUCUGAUAACUACAACUGCAACUUCCUGUGAAGUGAAAUACCAGAAAUUCAGUGCUUAUCGAUGCAGCUCAAAUUGUAUCCCAGUUGUCUUCUAGUUAAUAGCCAACCUAUUUAAAACGUUGGAUAGAAAAAACAGGCACUUCAGUGAUCAAUUUCUGAGGAUCUUGGUGGCGAGAUGGACGACUAUGGCAGAAACGUGCUGUUAGGACAUCAUUUGUUGGAGACCUCCGGCAGUCCACCGCAGUAUAAUAUAAGUGCUCUCCUCCUCUCACCAAUACCACUCCGCGUUUAUCUUCGGAUAGACACUGGCGGCUCAGGACCUUAUGGAAUGGACCAGUAUAUCCCGCAAAAAUGGAACAAAAUGGCAGCAAAGAACUCAAAAGUCAUAUAUGCCAUCUUAAGUCAGUAUCACUAUGGAUGAUGGAGAGCAACAUAUCCAUCUAAACAAAUGUUGCCCCUAGAACACUAAUACUGCGAAGAACUUGCGCAUGUGGUUUCUUUUUAUGACAACUUGACAAGUCUGUCUUAUAUAGUUAAAUCUGCUGAGAAGGAUGAUAAGAUGUUAGGUGUGCUGAGAGGCAUGAUUCGUAUGGCAAAUCAAGAAAAUUGCCAAAUGACAGAAGCUAUCGGCUGGCUGGAAAGUUGAAGAUAAAACAUCUAGAUUGAAUUAAAUGAUGGCCUUUAACAGCAACAUGUAACAAACCCUGUAUGAUGGUAACAUUUAUUGGUGGUAACAUCUGAAUGACCUGUCUUGUAGAUACUUCAGUAACUGUACCGUAACACCAUCAUGUGAAACUGAAACUGUAAUUCAAAAUUGAGGUGAUAUAUAUUCGCCUUACAUACCUCAAAUCGCUGUGAGUUCAACUCCACCGCAUGCUAUCUUCCUCUCUGGCUGUAAGUGGAAAGGUCUCAGCAACCUGCAGAAGGUCGUGGGUUUCCCUAGAGCCCGGUUUCAUCCCACCAUAUUGCUGGCUGCUGUCGUAUAAGUGAAAUAUUCUUAGCACGGCGUAAACACCAAUCAAAUAAGUAAAUAAAGACAUACCCCAAUGUAUGGACAUAUCUGAUUUUUGUAAAUACAAUUACAGGGCUGGAAAAAUGUGGAUUUUUUUUAGUCGCUCUGGCAGGCAACCAAGACGUUCAACUGUGGUUGGCCCCUUUCACCUUGGUUGCCGCCCACUUUUUAUGUCAUUUUGGUAUGUGAUCAUUUAAAGUACAAUACAAUAAAAUACAAUGACAUAAAUAAUAUCUGAUAAAAGUGAUUUUCUGAUUGGUGCUGAAAUCAUUAAUACUGAGAAAUGGUUAAAUACGUUUUGAUCCAUCAGUUAUGUUGCCUUUGAAUACCCUUUUGAAAAGUAUGGAAUGGAAUUUUUAGGCAGCCAUAUGCAUUUUCAUUGAUGUACGGUUCGGAUGACAGUCCAAUUACAUUUUUGUGAACAGAAUUUUUUGGACAUGUAUUUUUUGACCAAAUUCAAAGCACGGUCGAUUCAUGAAUGAAAUGUA